UUUCGCUCUUAGAAGUUUGUAUCUCGUGUGUGGUAGUAGUUAAGAUUAAAAGCCUAACUAGCUAUAAGCACGUAGUCGUAACUGAAAGGUUGAUCGACCACAGUGGGCCUGAAUAAAGCCCAUGACGAUUGUCACAGCAGUGAGGAAUAUUGGUCAAUAGCCUAACGGCUGAACCAGCAACUUGGAGGAAUGUAUAGCAAUAGCUACUUGUAUCAUUGUAGAUAUGAUGCAGGAUCGACUAUGUCGAAUAAAAUUCUAGGUAGAAUUAUGAUAAUGACAUUGUCUGCCUAUGUGUCUUGACCAAAUUACGUGCCAGCCGUCGCGGUAAUACGUAGAAGACUAGUGUUAUUCAUGUUUAAUCGGUUUAAAGGGUACCUAGACGGUAAAUCAAGCCUACAGAUAAAAGAAAUGAAGGGACUAAUUUGCUAGAGUUACUUAUGAGGGGGUUAUAAAGUACUGCUGGUGUAGAGAUGAAAUUCUGUCAUACCUCUUUUCAAUAGAAAAAUAACGGCACAGGUAUAGGCGAAAGCAUCCCCUUAUGUGAUAACUGACGUUGAGGGACGAAGGCUUUGUGUAGCGAACAGGAUUAGAUACCCCAGUAGUCAAAGCAGAAAAUGAUGAAUGUCAUAGAUUAGAUAAAUAAGUUUAUUCUAUAAAUGAAAGUGUAAGCAUUCCACCUCAAGAGUAAUUUGGCAACAUUGGAACUGAAAUCAUUAGACCGUUUCUGAAACCAGUAGUGAAGUAUGUUGUUUAAUUUGAUGUUCCGCAAAAAACCUUACCACAAUUUGAAUAUUUAUAUUUUUUUUUUAUCGUUUUAAUUUUCUUAUGGUUUUCUUCAUCAUAACCUUGUUCAUCUCGGAUGAUUCGGAGAUGAACAAGAUCAAGUUCAAAACGAGGAUGAAGAAAAUCAAUAAGAAAAUAGAGGCAAUAAGAUAUAUUUACAAGCGUUGCACGGCUGUCUUCAGUUAAUGUCGCGAGACUAUGGUUAGUUCCAUUAAAUUAACGUAAACCCUUACUUUAUUUUUUAUAUAGAGUAGUUCCCCGCUAUAUUGGAUAUGAUAACA
RNAcentral lists this ribosomal RNA (1064 nucleotides) under Bryoria divergescens. RNAcentral describes it as "SSU rRNA". It matches the Rfam family "Bacterial small subunit ribosomal RNA", at positions 213 to 1150 of the family's 1533-position model. Lineage: Eukaryota; Fungi; Ascomycota; Lecanoromycetes; Lecanorales; Parmeliaceae. The record is from RNAcentral.